CGGCUUACAUAGCGUCCCUUGAUCCAAACAGGCCUAAGAAGAAAAAGCAGCAAACAGUUGCUGCACAAGGUAAUUAUAUGAUAACACCUUGUAAUUUUUCUAUUUAUGAUUCUACUGCUUGGGUAUUGGAUACCGGAAGUCCAAUUAAUAUUUGCAAUUCAUUGCAGGGACUUCAAGUUAGUAGAAGAUUCAAGAGUGGCGAAAGAUUUCUGAACGUUGGAGAUGGAAGAUCAGUUCCAGUCCUAGCUUUAGGAGUCAUUGAGCUUGUUUUUGAAUCUAGAGUAGUCAUAUUAGAUGAUUGUCAUUAUUGU
RNAcentral lists this long non-coding RNA (311 nucleotides) under Phoenix dactylifera (date palm). Its description in RNAcentral is "long non-coding RNA (PDAC_LNC009283)". The record is from RNAcentral. Lineage: Eukaryota; Viridiplantae; Streptophyta; Magnoliopsida; Arecales; Arecaceae.